CCGCACAAACACACACACGCACACACACAUACACAAAACACACACACAUUUAAACACUACAGCGGAGCACAUUGUUCACACUGGACUGUCUGCUACAUCUAAUGCAGUCCGAGAAAAUCUCGGAAUAAACGAAAUCUCCUGGAGAUUGACUGUAUCCGGGGAAUCAGAGGUUGAAGAGGAGGGAAGGAAUGACUGAAUAUAAGCUGGUGGUGGUGGGCGCUGGAGGCGUGGGCAAAAGCGCUCUCACCAUCCAACUCAUCCAGAACCACUUUGUGGACGAAUACGACCCCACCAUAGAGGACUCGUACAGAAAGCAGGUGGUGAUCGACGGAGAGACGUGUCUCCUGGACAUCUUGGACACUGCGGGUCAGGAGGAGUACAGCGCCAUGAGGGACCAGUACAUGAGGACAGGAGAGGGCUUCCUCUGUGUCUUCGCCAUCAAUAACACCAAGUCCUUCGAGGACAUCCAUCAGUACAGGGAGCAGAUCAAGCGGGUGAAGGAUUCGGAUGACGUGCCCAUGGUGCUGGUGGGUAACAAGUGUGACCUCCCGACCCGGACGGUGGACACACGGCAAGCGCAGGAGCUCGCCCGCAGCUACGGGAUCCCCUUCAUCGAGACCUCCGCCAAAACACGACAGGGUGUGGAGGAUGCGUUUUACACGCUGGUGCGAGAGAUCCGUCAGCACAAGAUGAGGAAGCUGAACCCGCCGGACGAGAGCGGACAGGACUGCAUGAGCUGCCGCUGCGUCGUGUCGUGAUCCAGGUGCCACACACACGAAGGACAUAACACACAGGAACCAGUCAAAACAAACCACACAUCAAACAACCACCACAGAACUGCUGAGAAACGCCUCUUGAAUGGCCAGCACUUCUGACGGCGUGUCGGGAGAAGUUUACCCAUGGUCCCGUGCGGCAGACUGCACCAGAGAGGGAGGUGACGAACAUUAGCGACGGGACGGUGAACAGCACUAAUGACUGAGCCGUUCUCCUCUCCAUCGGUGACCCCAGUCUGCCAGCGCUGGGCUCCUCCCAGGAUUUCUGCUCAAUUAUUGUUCCUGAUGUCUCAACACUGGCCUGAAGCGGACUCUGCUCGUCACAGGACACACACACCUUCCUCCGCUCCGACUGGACACUAGUGACCUCAUCCCACGACCCCCGUCCCGCCGCAGGAAAACACACACACAUAUACACAUACACACGUGUGUGUUCAUGUCUGUAGAAAUAAUCAGGAGGAGUGUUUAACAGUGUGCUGUUAAUGUGUACGCUACCAACGAGCGUUUCCAGUAGACUAUUAAACAGACUGAACUUUCCUGAAUAAAAACUCCCGAGUUGUUUGGAGAAAGUGUGUGUGGAAAUCUCAUGAUGUUGAAAAGAUCUAACAUUUACCUCAAUAAACGAAAAAAAUAAAAACCUU
Molecule: RNA transcript, 1414 nt
Organism: Carassius auratus (goldfish)
Lineage: Eukaryota; Metazoa; Chordata; Actinopteri; Cypriniformes; Cyprinidae
Gene name: GTPase HRas-like
Exons: 6
Source: RefSeq, a predicted model, not a curated record